Molecule: ribosomal RNA, 491 nt
Filed under: uncultured bacterium
Lineage: Bacteria
Description: partial 16S ribosomal RNA
Rfam family: Bacterial small subunit ribosomal RNA
Source: RNAcentral
AGUGAACGCUGGCGGUAGGCCUAACACAUGCAAGUCGAACGGCAGCACAGUAAGAGCUUGCUCUUACGGGUGGCGAGUGGCGGACGGGUGAGGAAUACAUCGGAAUCUACUUUUUCGUGGGGGAUAACGUAGGGAAACUUACGCUAAUACCGCAUACGACCUACGGGUGAAAGCAGGGGAUCUUCGGACCUUGCGCAAUUGAAUGAGCCGAUGUCGGAUUAGCUAGUUGGCGGGGUAAAGGCCCACCAAGGCGACGAUCCGUAGCUGGUCUGAGAGGAUGAUCAGCCACACUGGAACUGAGACACGGUCCAGACUCCUACGGGAGGCAGCAGUGGGGAAUAUUGGACAAUGGGCGCAAGCCUGAUCCAGCCAUACCGCGUGGGUGAAGAAGGCCUGCGGGUUGUAAAGCCCUUUUGUUGGGAAAGAAAAGCAGCAGGUUAAUACCCCGCUGUUCUGACGGUACCCAAAGAAUAAGCACCGGCUAACUUCGG